RNAcentral lists this small nucleolar RNA (121 nucleotides) under Triticum dicoccoides. Its description in RNAcentral is "snoRNA SNORD14". It matches the Rfam family "Small nucleolar RNA SNORD14". Rfam says of the family: U14 small nucleolar RNA (U14 snoRNA) is required for early cleavages of eukaryotic precursor rRNAs. In yeasts, this molecule possess a stem-loop region (known as the Y-domain) which is essential for function. A similar structure, but with a different consensus sequence, is found in plants, but is absent in vertebrates. The record is from RNAcentral. Lineage: Eukaryota; Viridiplantae; Streptophyta; Magnoliopsida; Poales; Poaceae.
UGGCAGUGAUGAUAGAUUUAAGGCUUGUUUCUCAAAACAUUCGCAGUUGCCGCCUAAGAGCUUUCGCCGAGCCAGGCUUGAGAGCUACUGCUGCUAAUUCCUUCCUUGGAUGUCUGAGCCU